ACAAGUGUGAUUUGUACAUAUACAUAUACAUUAAUUGAUUGUAGCUUUGAAUGACAGAUAAAGAGUCAAAUGAAAGAAUAGCAGUUUACGUAAUUAGAGACCGGUAGGUUUCUUGCUGUGCUGUGAGAGACCAUUACGAAACACUUAUCCUUACAAAACUUAAAGAGGAGGAUCGGCCCUGAUAAUUCAUUUUUCUAGAUACCUGCAUUUCGAGACCGAAACUAUCUCCUGGCAACGUCUUGCUGGUGGUUGAAGUGGUGAAGACAGACUAGACCAGAAAGUUAGCAAUGGGACCUGGUGGACCGGGAGGAGGGCCUGGUGGACCGGGAGGAGGGCCUGGAGGACCUGGCGGAUGGGGGGGAGGUCCAGGAGGACCUGGUGGAUGGGGAGGAGGUCCAGGAGGACCCGGUGGAUGGGGAGGACCAGGUGGAUGGGGCGGAGGUCCAGGAGGACCUGGGGGAUGGGGAGGAGGUCCAGGGGGACCUGGCUGGGGUCCGGGGCCUGGAGGUCCCUGGGGCCCUGGAUUUGGAGGUGGGUUCUUUGGUGGAUUUGCUGAUGGCUUGUGCAACAUGAUAUCUUCUUUGUAAGCAAUCAUCUUUUCUCAAUUCUCCUCCAAUGUCUAGUUAACUACGCUUCGAUUUUUAUCUUACUCACUUCUUAACCUUAAUUGUUUUCGAUUGCAGCUUUUACUGUCUGUGCUGUUGUUGGCUACUACAGGAAUGCUUCGGUGGACCUCGUGGCUAUGGUCCUCCCGGCCCUGGCGGGCCUCCCCCAUUCUGAUCCUAUUCUGUAUGUUGCACAGAGAUAGAGGUCAUCUGCAGCAUAGUUGUUCCUUACCAUAAUUUUUACAGUCUACUAGUGUUUACAAUUUCAUCACUGCUGUCCGCUUUGUUUUCUUGUUGUUUCCAACGCUAUUGUCAUCUAUUAUGAAAACUGGUUUGAGUAUUAAUAAAUGUUAUCAGCUGAUUAAUUGGGAUGAUUACUUCAACUGGGAAAGUUCAUCUUUUUUUUUUUUUUUUUUUUUGGGGGGGGGGGGUGUUUCAAACUAGUAUUGUUGAUUGGAGUGUACCAAAGAAAAAACUUACCUCUUUAUUUGUUUUCCCUGUUUUAUCCAUCUUGGUAUGCAACAUCAAUGAGAAUUCCCUUUGCUAACAUGUAAAGGAAUUUCACAAGCUGAAUGUCUGAGGAGCCAAACCAAAGCUUAAAGACGCGUAGGAUGGAUGUCAAAGUAAAAAUAAUCAAAUCCCAUAAUUCUUGUAUAUAUAACGUGUUUGUAUGUAUAAAUUACAAAAAAUUAUUGUAUCAAAUUCAUUUGAUACACGCAAUAGGAAAC
Molecule: long non-coding RNA, 1333 nt
Filed under: Durio zibethinus
Lineage: Eukaryota; Viridiplantae; Streptophyta; Magnoliopsida; Malvales; Malvaceae
Description: long non-coding RNA (DZIB_LNC001750)
Source: RNAcentral